UACAGAGGUCCCAAGCGUUGUUCGGAUUCACUGGGCGUAAAGGGUGCGUAGGUGGCUAGACAAGUCGGAUGUGAAAUCUCCAGGCUCAACCUGGAAACUGCAUUGGAAACUGUCUGGCUAGAGGAUUUGAGGGGGGACUGGAAUACUUGGUGUAGCAGUGAAAUGCGUAGAUAUCAAGUGGAACACCAGUGGCGAAGGCGAGUCCCUGGAAAAUACCUGACACUGAGGCACGAAAGCUAGGGGAGCAAACAGG
RNAcentral lists this ribosomal RNA (253 nucleotides) under uncultured bacterium. RNAcentral describes it as "partial 16S ribosomal RNA". It matches the Rfam family "Bacterial small subunit ribosomal RNA", at positions 524 to 776 of the family's 1533-position model. The record is from RNAcentral.